RNAcentral lists this ribosomal RNA (452 nucleotides) under uncultured bacterium. Its description in RNAcentral is "bacterial SSU rRNA". It matches the Rfam family "Bacterial small subunit ribosomal RNA", at positions 8 to 488 of the family's 1533-position model. The record is from RNAcentral.
AGAGUUUGAUCCUGGCUCAGGAUUAACGCUGGCGGCAUGCCUUAUGCAUGCAAGUAGAACGGGAAGUAGCAAUACUUUCAGUUGCGAACGGCUGAGUAAUGGAUAGGAAUCUCCCCAGUGGUGUGGAAUACCUCAUCGAAAGGUGAGCUAAUACCGCAUGACCUCUUGCUUGCGCAAGCAAGUGUAGAGAAAAGCGCUUAACUGCGCGCCGAUGGAUGAGCCUAUCUCCCAUCAGGCUGUUGGUAAGGUAAUGGCUUACCAAACCUAUGACGGGUACCCGCCCUGAGAGGGGAAACGGGCAGAAUGGGACUGAGACACGGCCCAUACACCUACGGGUGGCAGCAACAGGGAAUCGUGCGCAAUGGACGAAAGUCUGACGCCGCAAUGCCGCGUGGAGGAAGUGGCCCUCGGGUCGUAAACUCCUUUGCCAUGGGGGAGAUACCAUGAGAAUA